This 251-nucleotide ribosomal RNA is filed under the name uncultured bacterium. RNAcentral's name for it is "partial 16S ribosomal RNA". It matches the Rfam family "Bacterial small subunit ribosomal RNA", at positions 82 to 334 of the family's 1533-position model. The record is from RNAcentral.
UUGGGGUGCUCGAGUGGCGAACGGGUGAGUAACACGUGAGUAACCUGCCCUUGACUUUGGGAUAACUUCAGGAAACUGGGGCUAAUACCGGAUAGGAGCUCCUGCUGCAUGGUGGGGGUUGGAAAGUUUCGGCGGUUGGGGAUGGACUCGCGGCUUACCAGCUUGUUGGUGGGGUAGUGGCUUACCAAGGCUUUGACGGGUAGCCGGCCUGAGAGGGUGACCGGCCACAUUGGGACUGAGAUACGGCCCAG